This 228-nucleotide ribosomal RNA is filed under the name uncultured bacterium. RNAcentral's name for it is "partial 16S ribosomal RNA". It matches the Rfam family "Bacterial small subunit ribosomal RNA", at positions 15 to 236 of the family's 1533-position model. The record is from RNAcentral.
GAUCAUGGCUCAGGAUGAACGCUAGCUACAGGCUUAACACAUGCAAGUCGAGGGGCAGCAUGAACUUAGCUUGCUAAGUUUGAUGGCGACCGGCGCACGGGUGAGUAACGCGUAUCCAACCUACCCUUGUCCAUCGGAUAACCCGUCGAAAGGCGGCCUAACACGAUAUGCGGUUCACCGCAGGCAUCUAAUGUGAACGAAAUGUGAAGGAGAAGGAUGGGGAUGCGU